UUAAGCGACUAAGCGUACACGGUGGAUGCCUAGGCAGUCAGAGGCGAUGAAGGGCGUGCUAAUCUGCGAAAGCGUCGGUAAGGUGAUAUGAACCGUUAUAACCGGCGAUACCGAAUGGGGAAACCCAGUGUGUUUGCACACUAUCGUUAAUGAAUCAUAGGUUAAUGAGGCGAACCGGGGGAACUGAAACAUCUAAGUACCCCGAGGAAAAGAAAUCAACCGAGAUUCCCCAGUAGCGGCGAGCGAACGGGGAGGAGCCCAGAGUCUGAAUCAGUUGUGUGUUAGUGGAAGCGUCUGGAAAGGCGCACGGUACAGGGUGAUAGCCCGUACACAAAAAUGCACAUAUUGUGAACUCGAUGAGUAGGGCGGGACACGUGAUCCUGUCUGAAUAUGGGGGGACCAUCCUCCAAGGCUAAAUACUCCUGACUGACCGAUAGUGAACCAGUACCGUGAGGGAAAGGCGAAAAGAACCCCGGCGAGGGGAGUGAAAAAGAACCUGAAACCGUGUACGUACAAGCAGUGGGAGCACCUUAGGGUGUGACUGCGUACCUUUUGUAUAAUGGGUCAGCGACUUAUAUUUGUAGCAAGGUUAACCGAAUAGGGGAGCCGUAGGGAAACCGAGUCUUAACUGGGCGUUAGUUGCAGGGUAUAGACCCGAAACCCGGUGAUCUAGCCAUGGGCAGGUUGAAGGUUGGGUAACACUAACUGGAGGACCGAACCGACUAAUGUUGAAAAAUUAGCGGAUGACUUGUGGCUGGGGGUGAAAGGCCAAUCAAACCGGGAGAUAGCUGGUUCUCCCCGAAAGCUAUUUAGGUAGCGCCUCGUGAAUUCAUCUCCGGGGGUAGAGCACUGUUUCGGCAAGGGGGUCAUCCCGACUUACCAACCCGAUGCAAACUCGAAUACCGAAGAAUGUUAUCACGGGAGACACACGGCGGGUGCUAACGUCCGUCGUGAAGAGGGAAACAACCCAGACCGCCAGCUAAGGUCCCAAAGUCAUGGUUAAGUGGGAAACGAUGUGGGAAGGCCCAGACAGCCAGGAUGUUGGCUUAGAAGCAGCCAUCAUUUAAAGAAAGCGUAAUAGCUCACUGGUCGAGUCGGCCUGCGCGGAAGAUGUAACGGGGCUAAACCAUGCACCGAAGCUGCGGCAGCGACGCUUAUGGUUUGUUGGGUAGGGGAGCGUUCUGUAAGCCUGCGAAGGUGCUGUGAGGCAUGCUGGAGGUAUCAGAAGUGCGAAUGCUGACAUAAGUAACGAUAAAGCGGGUGAAAAACCCGCUCGCCGGAAGACCAAGGGUUCCUGUCCAACGUUAAUCGGGGCAGGGUGAGUCGACCCUAAGGCGAGGCCGAAAGGCGUAGUCGAUGGGAAACAGGUUAUAUUCCUGUACUUGGUGUUACUGCGAAGGGGGACGGAGAAGGCUAUGUUGGCCGGGCGACGGUUGUCCCGGUUUAAGCGUGUAGGCUGGUUUUCCAGGCAAAUCCGGAAAAUCAAGCUGAGGCGUGAUGACGAGGCACUACGGUGCUGAAGCAACAAAUGCCCUGCUUCCAGGAAAAGCCUCUAAGCAUCAGGUAACAUCAAAUCGUACCCCAAACCGACACAGGUGGUCAGGUAGAGAAUACCAAGGCGCUUGAGAGAACUCGGGUGAAGGAACUAGGCAAAAUGGUGCCGUAACUUCGGGAGAAGGCACGCUGAUAUGUAGGUGAGUCCUCGCGGAUGGAGCUGAAAUCAGUCGAAGAUACCAGCUGGCUGCAACUGUUUAUUAAAAACACAGCACUGUGCAAACACGAAAGUGGACGUAUACGGUGUGACGCCUGCCCGGUGCCGGAAGGUUAAUUGAUGGGUUAGCGCAAGCGAAGCUCUUGAUCGAAGCCCCGGUAAACGGCGGCCGUAACUAUAACGGUCCUAAGGUAGCGAAAUUCCUUGUCGGGUAAGUUCCGACCUGCACGAAUGGCGUAAUGAUGGCCAGGCUGUCUCCACCCGAGACUCAGUGAAAUUGAACUCGCUGUGAAGAUGCAGUGUACCCGCGGCAAGACGGAAAGACCCCGUGAACCUUUACUAUAGCUUGACACUGAACAUUGAGCCUUGAUGUGUAGGAUAGGUGGGAGGCUUUGAAGUGUGGACGCCAGUCUGCAUGGAGCCGACCUUGAAAUACCACCUUUAAUGUUUGAUGUUCUAACGUGGACCCGUGAUCCGGGUUGCGGACAGUGUCUGGUGGGUAGUUUGACUGGGGCGGUCUCCUCCUAAAGAGUAACGGAGGAGCACGAAGGUUGGCUAAUCCUGGUCGGACAUCAGGAGGUUAGUGCAAUGGCAUAAGCCAGCUUGACUGCGAGCGUGACGGCGCGAGCAGGUGCGAAAGCAGGUCAUAGUGAUCCGGUGGUUCUGAAUGGAAGGGCCAUCGCUCAACGGAUAAAAGGUACUCCGGGGAUAACAGGCUGAUACCGCCCAAGAGUUCAUAUCGACGGCGGUGUUUGGCACCUCGAUGUCGGCUCAUCACAUCCUGGGGCUGAAGUAGGUCCCAAGGGUAUGGCUGUUCGCCAUUUAAAGUGGUACGCGAGCUGGGUUUAGAACGUCGUGAGACAGUUCGGUCCCUAUCUGCCGUGGGCGCUGGAGAACUGAGGGGGCUGCUCCUAGUACGAGAGGACCGGAGUGGACGCAUCACUGGUGUUCGGGUUGUCAUGCCAAUGGCACUGCCCGGUAGCUAAAUGCGGAAGAGAUAAGUGCUGAAAGCAUCUAAGCACGAAACUUGCCCCGAGAUGAGUUCUCCCUGACCCUUUAAGGGUCCUGAAGGAACGUUGAAGACGACGACGUUGAUAGGCCGGGUGUGUAAGCGCAGCGAUGCGUUGAGCUAACCGGUACUAAUGAACCGUGAGGCUUAACCUU
This 2875-nucleotide ribosomal RNA is filed under the name Stutzerimonas stutzeri. RNAcentral's name for it is "bacterial LSU rRNA". It matches the Rfam family "Bacterial large subunit ribosomal RNA". The record is from RNAcentral. Lineage: Bacteria; Pseudomonadati; Pseudomonadota; Gammaproteobacteria; Pseudomonadales; Pseudomonadaceae.